Molecule: long non-coding RNA, 4652 nt
Organism: Mercenaria mercenaria
Lineage: Eukaryota; Metazoa; Mollusca; Bivalvia; Venerida; Veneridae
Exons: 2
Source: RefSeq, a predicted model, not a curated record
UGUUAUAUAACACUGAAAUUGAGUUAACUCCUUUUGGUGUGCCAUUUAUAUUGUUGAUAUGUGACACAGAACAGAACAAUAUUGAUAAACCAGAGAAAUCUUUUUUCACACUUGCUCUUAUGAAUAUAUGUUACUUUAGAUAUGUUUGUGAUGGAAAAGACAUUCAAAUGAUAGGUAAAAUUUUAGACAGAAAAGCAAGUGCAGAUUUGAAAUUAUGAAAGGAGUUUUGCUUUUAAGGUGGAGUUUUUAUUAUAUUAUAAAUACUGUGAAGGAAUUAUAGCAUUCUGACAUUAAUUUUAUAAAAUGGCAUACAGGAACCAAGAUUAUAAAACUAAGAUUGGAGACUAGUCUGGGAAUGCUGCUUUUUCAUUGGUCAGUAUCAAAAUGUGAUCAGAAAUAGCCAAUCAGAUACGCAAGUUUAUAGACUGGUCACCAAACUCAGGUUUGUAACAUUUGAUCCUGCACUCAGAUUCUCUUGGUUAAUCAUAACAGUGUUGUUUCAUGUGUGAGUGGCAUGAGUUUUGGGCAUGGCUUGAUUUUGUUCAUAAUCAGUGGCAUUGAAAGUACUUUUAAUACAUAAGGUGUUUGCUAAAUUUAGACGUCAGGUUUGUGUGUGUGUGUGUUAUAAACAUGUUUUAAAAUGUUUGCAUGAGGUAAAUGGAUGGUUAAGGGCAAAGACACAGUAAUUGAGUACAUGCUUCAUUAGGGGUUGAUCAAAUAUUCCAGCUGUUUGAUUGCAUGUACAAUAUACGUUUGUUUGUUUAUGAGAUGCAAGUGUUGCAUGAUAGCUGUUGAAAUAUUAAAUGUUGUUAAUUGGUGUAAAAUGAUUGUGAAACACUGUAUUAUACAUACAUCAAAACUACUUCUUAGACUAUUAUCUUUACUUGGUGUAAUUUGUUUGACAAAUAUUAUCAAAAAGACAGUUUUGAAGAAAAGAAACUCACAAGUUUUGGUACAUUUAAUACAAGUGAAAUUUGUUUUUUUUACUAUACACUGAUACAUUGUAUCAGUACACUGAUACAAUUUGUAUCAGUAUGUAGUAAAACAAUUUUUUUCAAAAAUAUUUUUUUCUUUUAGGAUUAAAAAAAGUAGUUUUUAACUUUUUUUAUUGGGGGACCCUUAUAUGGGCACCAAGACUGGAUGAGCACCUGUGCGAAAGGUUAGAGUUGCAUGUAACAUUGCCCUUAAAAUGUCCUUUUUCCAUCAGUAAUACUAGACUGAUUGUUGCAGCAGCAAUUUACAUAAUAUAUAUGGUUUAGUGAAUUAUUUAAAAAGUCAGAACAGAAGUCUUAAGUUUUUAUAAAUAAACAGGCUGUGUUAUAUAAAGAACCUCCCUGCAAUAAACAGUAAACAUCUUGUAAUGGCUUUGAAGAAACAAUUGAUAACAACAGAGAAAAAAUAUUAUGUAAACAGUUCUAAUUCUCAUUACAUCAUUUUGCCAAAUAGCUAACCAGCUUGGAACCAUUUUAUUGCACUACAGUACUAAAUUCAUAGGCAAAAAUGCUUAUAAACAUUUCAUUGCUUUAUCAUGUUACAUUAAACAUUAUAAAUUAUGCUUUUAAUGAUUCAGUUACACUGCAGUAUUAAAUUCAUGGGCAAAAAUGCUUAUAAACAUUUCAUUGCUUUAUCAUGUUACAUUAAACAUUAUAAAUUAUGCUUUUAAUGAUUCAAUUACACUGCAGUAUUAAAUUCAUGGGCAAAAAUGCUUAUAAACAUUUCAUUGCUCUACAAAAUUAUACAUUCAUAAGCUUUGAUGCUUGCAAACAUUUCAUUGCUUUAUAAUGUUACAUUAAACAUCAUAUGCUUUUAACGAUUCAGUUGCACUGCAGUAGUAAAUUCAUAGGUAAAAAUGGUUAUAAACAUUUCAUUGCAAUAAAAUACUUAAAUCAUUGAUGAUAUGCUUGCAAAUAUUUCAUUACUUAACAAAAUUACAGGUAACAGGUUGAUAUAUGAUUCUGUUAAGCACUUCAUUGCUCUACAAAAUUACAUACUAUUUAGGUAAAUGUUUUUGCUUAGAAAUGUUCUGUUGCGCUGCAAUAUUUAAUUUAUAGGUAUAAUGCUUAUUAACAUUAAUUGCUGUACAAUAUAGUAAAUCUAUUUGUUCAAAUGCCUAUAAAUAUUUCAUUGCUCUGCAAUAUUGCAGUGUUUGGGUUCAAGCUGAAAACCAUUUCAUUGCUCUACAUUAUUACAUUCAUAGGUUACGUAAUGCUUGUAUAUUUAUUUAUUUUGUUAGGUUUAACGUCGCAUCGACACAGUUACAGGUCAUAUGGCGACUUUCCAGCUUUGAUGGUGGAGGAAGACCCCAGGUGCCCCUCCGUGCAUUAUUUCCCCACGAGCGGACACCUGGGUAGACCACCGACCUUCCAUAAGCCAGCUGGAUGGCUUCCUCACAUGAAGAAUUCAACGCCCCAAGUGAGGCUCAAACCCAAAUCGAUGAGGGUCAAGUGAUUUGAAGUCAGUGACCUGAACCACUCAGCCACGGAGGCCCCAAUGCUUGUAUAUACUUCAUUGCACUACAGUUAUGCUGCCACUUGCUUACUUAAUAGGGAGAGCAAAAACAUACAGAUUGUAAAUUUGUAGAUUGGCUCCUUGUCCAAGGCUUACAUUCCAGGUGACAGUUUGAUAGAAGACAUUAUGUCUAAGGUCAUCUGCCCUUGAUCUCUGAUUCAUGUAGAUUAAGAGAAGCUAGCAGUUACUUGCAGAGAACAGGUUAUCACUAGUACAGAUUCCAGGAACACUGGUUAGGUAAACUGCUCACCAUUACAGAACUGAAAUACUGUUGAAAAACUGUGCUUUACCCAAAAAGCAAAUCCCGAUUCCCUGGAUUAACUUUGAAACCAUAUCACUAUGUUAUAAAAUGUAAUGUAUCAGGAUUAAAGGUUACAAGCUGCUGAUUUUAGAAGAAAGUGUUUAAAAAUGCCUUAUUAUGAUAAAAGCUCUUUAAAAAGAAUUUUUCAUUAUAAUUUGAUUAUAUAUUCAAGGAGCCUUUGUAACUAACCUAGCUUACUGUAUGCAUGUUUUGCUGUAGUUGUCAUGGUAAUGUGAUUGCAUGCAGUAAUAUAUGGAAGGGUUUUGCUAGUGUACCACUAUAUCUUGUAUGGUCAUAUCUAAAAUAUAUUGUCAUUGUGCAUGCAUGUUUUCUAUUCUCAUCACCAGUUGUCAAACUGUGUGUGCAUUUAAAGAUUUCUUAUCUAGAGGAGGUAAUAGAUGAAAUUCCUGUCCUGAAGUUUAUGGAAACUUUUAUUCACGACAAUUCAAGCCCAUGGCAGAUGUUAUGAAAAAAUGUUCUUGUAACUUGAAAAAAAGUUGCAAAGAAUUUUUUGGCAGAACUUCGGCUAAUAUUGUUGUGAGCAGUCUGAGAGUUUUUAGUCAGUCUUAAGUUAAUAACUUAGUUAGGAUAGAGAUAUUUAGAUGAAACUUGUGUGUUUUGGUUUUGUAUACAGUAAACAAAAACUUUGAAAUCACUUGCUUUUAGUUUCUCCACAACUGAUCUAAAUACCAUGUAACAAAGUGAAUCAAUAAGAUAUAAGUUCAGAUAUAAAUUCUGUAAUUGAACAUGUUUGGAUACUUUGUGGCCACAUCUAUCAGUCUGAAUAUCAUGCCCAAAUUUGUCACGCAAAGAUACCUAGACAAAGACAGUGAAAAAUGAAAAUAUCCACAACUACUAGAACAAUUUUAUCAAUAGUAACAUGUGCUCUACAAUAAAUGUAAAUGGACAACAACAUUUUUGCAGUGCUAUUUAUACAGAAAACAGCAUAUGGACAGUAGCAAUGUUACUGUAGUGCACUAUACCUGGACAGUAAUAAUGUUAUAAUGCCAGAGAGACUCCUAGGAGACAGCACUGUCUGAGCAACCACUUUUAAGAAAAACCUGGUGCUCACAGGAAAAACUCAGCUUUGAAAUGUAUUUCAACAAAUUCAUCAGAUCAUUGAAUAUUCCACCAAAGCAAUACCAACAACCUAGUGAAGUGACAGCUAGAUUACUUACCUUAGCAAAAAGAAUAUAGUAUUACAUAUUUAAUCAUUUUUUUAUUCUUUGCUUGUCUAAAAAAAGGUCAUAAUUGGAAAGCAACUGAAUAUGUACGAGGACACAAUUAAUCUCAGACAGACCGCCACAAUAAAUUUUCUGCAUAAAUUUAUCCUUCAAAAUUUGCAGCUGCAAAACAAAGUUCUUUUUCAAAGUGUCUUGAAAUAUUCAUCUGACAGAUGGUUGCCAUUAUUCUGCAUGGGAAGGAUACAGGACUGGCAGUAUUGAUGUCUAUGAACAAAGUGUCUCCCUAAGACAUUGAACAGACCUUUUGGGCGGCAAACUGGAUUAUAAUUAUGCUGCUUUGUACCAGACUUGUUUCCAACCUCAUUGUCACCCUAAAUUAUCCAAGGCAAGAUAUUGCACCGAAUGAUUACACAAUGUGGAAAUGUUGAUGCAACUUAAUAAUUAAAUGCCUUUUGAUAUGAAAUAAUACAAAUUUUGUGUCUAUUACACCUGAGUGAUGUAUUCAGUUGAAAGGAAUCCAAAUGAUGUGACAAAUAAGCUAUGGUAACCAAAGAAUUUGAAAUUUAAAAGUUUGGCUAAAAAUAGCUUUAGGGAAACUUAAAAAAAUAAUUUCUGUGUAAAUAAACUCCUAUUUUAUUUCAGUGGAGAAAUAAUUUGUA